UUUAGCGUUUGGUUAGGAUUUGAUUUAGAAUUAGGAUUUGAUUAGGAUUUGAUUUAGGGUUUAAGAUUUUAUUUGAGUUUAUUUAGGAUUUAAAAUUUAGUUAGUUUUGGCCUAAAGUUUGAAUGAAGUCCAAUAAGAUUUCAACUAGGAUUAAAUUAAGAUUGAAUUGAAAUGUAUUUGAGAUAUGUUUGUAAUCAUUUUAAUAUUUCUUAAAGAUUUUUUAUUAUUUCUUUGGAAUUCUUUUUGAGUUUUUUAGAAU
This 259-nucleotide long non-coding RNA is filed under the name Physcomitrium patens. RNAcentral's name for it is "long non-coding RNA (PPAT_LNC006478)". Lineage: Eukaryota; Viridiplantae; Streptophyta; Bryopsida; Funariales; Funariaceae. The record is from RNAcentral.